GACGAACGCUGGCGGCGUGCUUAACACAUGCAAGUCGAACGGUGAAGCGAGUGCUUGCACUCGUGGAUCAGUGGCGAACGGGUGAGUAACACGUGAGUAACCUGCCCAUCACUCUGGGAUAAGCACUGGAAACGGGGUCUAAUACCGGAUACGACCAACCCCUGCAUGGGGGGGUGGUGGAAGGUUUUAGCGGUGGUGGAUGGACUCGCGGCCUAUCAGCUUGUUGGCGGGGUAAUGGCUAACCAGGGCGACGACGGGUAGCCGGCCUGAGAGGGUGACCGGCCACACUGGGACUGAGACACGGCCCAGACUCCUACGGGAGGCAGCAGUGGGGAAUAUUGCACAAUGGGCGGAAGCCUGAUGCAGCGACGCCGCGUGCGGGAUGACGGCCUUCGGGUUGUAAACCUCUUUCGGCAGGGAAGAAGCGAGAGUGACGGUACCGGGAAAAGAAGCACCGGCUAACUACGUG
RNAcentral lists this ribosomal RNA (469 nucleotides) under uncultured bacterium. RNAcentral describes it as "partial 16S ribosomal RNA". It matches the Rfam family "Bacterial small subunit ribosomal RNA", at positions 28 to 507 of the family's 1533-position model. The record is from RNAcentral.